RNAcentral lists this ribosomal RNA (493 nucleotides) under uncultured bacterium. RNAcentral describes it as "partial 16S ribosomal RNA". It matches the Rfam family "Bacterial small subunit ribosomal RNA", at positions 29 to 523 of the family's 1533-position model. The record is from RNAcentral.
AUUGAACGCUGGCGGCAUGCUUUACACAUGCAAGUCGAACGGUAACAGGUUAAGCUGACGAGUGGCGAACGGGUGAGUAAUGCAUCGGAACGUGCCCGAUCGUGGGGGAUAACGCAGCGAAAGCUGCGCUAAUACCGCAUACGAUCUGAGGAUGAAAGCGGGGGACCGUAAGGCCUCGCGCGAUCGGAGCGGCCGAUGUCAGAUUAGGUAGUUGGUGGGGUAAAGGCGCACCAAGCCGACGAUCUGUAGCUGGUCUGAGAGGACGACCAGCCACACUGGGACUGAGACACGGCCCAGACUCCUACGGGAGGAAGCAGUGGGGAAUUUUGGACAAUGGGCGCAAGCCUGAUCCAGCAAUGCCGCGUGCAGGAAGAAGGCCUUCGGGUUGUAAACUGCUUUUGUACGGAGCGAAAAGGCUCUCUCUAAUACAGGGGGCUCAUGACGGUACCGUAAGAAUAAGCACCGGCUAACUACGUGCCAGCCGCCGCGGUAA